UACGUUCCCGGGCCUUGUACACACCGCCCGUCACAUCAUGGAAGUCGCUUGUUCCCGAAGGUCCACCUUUGGUGGGACGAAGGAAUGAGUGGCGACUGGGAUG
RNAcentral lists this ribosomal RNA (103 nucleotides) under uncultured bacterium. RNAcentral describes it as "partial 16S ribosomal RNA". It matches the Rfam family "Bacterial small subunit ribosomal RNA", at positions 1367 to 1482 of the family's 1533-position model. The record is from RNAcentral.